UACGAAGGGGGCUAGCGUUGUUCGGAUUUACUGGGCGUAAAGCGCACGUAGGCGGAUCGUUAAGUCGGGGGGUGAAAUCCUGGAGCUCAACUCCAGAACUGCCUUCGAUACUGGCGAUCUUGAGUCCGGAAGAGGUGAGUGGAACUCCUAGUGUAGAGGUGGAAUUCGUAGAUAUUAGGAAGAACACCAGUGGCGAAGGCGGCUCACUGGUCCGGUACUGACGCUGAGGUGCGAAAGCGUGGGGAGCAAACAGG
This 254-nucleotide ribosomal RNA is filed under the name uncultured bacterium. Its description in RNAcentral is "partial 16S ribosomal RNA". It matches the Rfam family "Bacterial small subunit ribosomal RNA", at positions 524 to 776 of the family's 1533-position model. The record is from RNAcentral.